CUGAAGCCCUGAUGUGUGGUGAGAAGGGUGCUUUCCCUCUGUGGUCCUCAUCCCCAAAACAAACUACCCCAGUCAAAUUAUGAGAAAAUCGGACCAAUCCCAACUGAGGGCCAUUUUAUAGAGUACUGGACCCACAGAAAGUCUGAGAAACUGUCACAGCCAACAGGAGCUGAAGAAUGCAUGAUAACAAAAUGUGACGCGGUGCCCUGGAUUGGAUUCUGGAGCAAGAAGAGGGCAGCAGGUAAAAACUAAGGCAGCUGGAAUAAGGUAUGGACUUUAGCUAACAAGUGUAUCGAUGUGGGUUCAUACAUUGUGACCAAUGUACCAGGUUAAUUUAGGAAGUUAAACAAUGGGGACACUGGGUAUAUGAGAAUGCUCUGUACUAUCUUUGCAAUCUUUCUGUAAAUCUAAGGCCAUUCUAAAAUGAGGCUUAUUUUGAAAAAGAUGGAACUGACAUUAUAGCUGAAUGGACAAGCACCUUAUCUGAUCUGGCAGGGUCUGCAGCCAAGGGCACACACAACCCCAAGGGGCAGGCUGGCAGGAAAGGCGAAUUCUAGGGCCGGGGGCCAGAGGGAGGUGAGGAGAGGCUUUACACAGACAGAAAGCAUUGUAAGAGGAAGCCGAAAGUGAAGAGAGCUUCUCCAGGCAGAUGAGAAGUCAGGUGGCAUGAAGAGAGUACAGGCGGCCUAAGCACAUGCAGCGAGGCUGAAGGACAGAGAGCUGGGGUCAUGUGGAAGGGAGUGGACAGACCAGCAUGGUGGAGACCGGAAGGGGCCAGACCGUGAGGGCCAGGAACACUGGGGCUGCUGACAGGGUUUCACGCAGCAUCGCCUCAUGGGCGGGUGUGGGUGCCUGGGAUCACAUCCGGGCCUGCUGCCCACAUCCUCUGCAGCUUUGCGGGCGCCAUCACCGCACAGUGCCUAAGGUCUGUCAUUUGUAAAAUGGGGAUAACAGCACCACUGACUACCUCACAGGGCUGCUGUGAGGAUUGUUAGUUAAUACAAGCAAAGCAUUUAGAACUAGGGGUACGUAACAAGCAUUCCGUGAUCUUGGGUAUUGUUAUAAAGACAGAAGAAUGACUGACAAUCCAAUGUACAUUUUAUAAAAUAGCUUUGGGGCUGGGCGUGGUGGCUCAUGCCUGUAAUCCCAGCGCUUUGGGAGGCCAACGUGGGUGAAUCACCUGAGAUCAGGAGUUCGAGACCAGCCUGGCCAACAUGGUGAAACCCCACCUCUACUAAAAAUACAAAAAUUAGCUGGUGUGGUGGUGGGCACCUGUAAUCCCAGCUACUUGGGAGGCUGAAGUGGGAGAAUCUCUUGAACCUGGGAGGCGGAGGUUGCAGUGAGCUGAGCUGGUGCCACUGCACUCCAACUUGAGUGAUGGAGCAAGACUCUGUCUCAAAACAAAAAAAAAAAAGAGCUCUGGAGGCUGUACACAGGUGGGUACGUGGGGGGUGGAAUGGCAAGAGUGGGAUGCCCUCCAUGAUCUUGCAGGUCUGCACUGUUUUUCUGUAAGGCUUUUUACUGAAUCCCCAGUAAGACCUUGAGUGGCUCUUAUGUGCCCCAUUCUUACCCAUGUGGAGGAAGAGUAAAAUGUUGAGGAUAUGGUGAGAGUGUACCCUGUCACACACACUGUCAAUGGUAAAAACUGGGGCUAUCCCUUCGGAAAGUAACCUGCAAUGUAUUUCCAGAGCCAGGAGUUCUUUUUAUACUCUGUGAUAUAGUAAUUCCCAUGGUUAGAAAUGUAUCUUUAUUAUUAUUUUUUUUCCUUUUUGAGACAGGGUCUCUCACUGUCACCCAGGCUAGAGUGCAGUGGCAUGAUCACAGCUCACUGCAGCCUCAACUUCCCCAAGGUCAGGUGAUCCUCCUGCCUCAGCCUCCCUUGUAGCUGGGACUACAGGCGUGUGCCACCACACAUGGCUAAUUUUUUUACUUUGUGUAGAGAUAGGGUUUUACCAUGUUGCUCAGGCUGGUUUCCCAACUCCUGGGCUCAAGCAAUUCACCUGCCUUGGCCUCCCAAAGUGCUGAGAUUACAGGUGUAAGCCACCAUGCCUUGUUUAGAAAUUUAUCUUAAUCUAUCACCCCAGAAAGGGGGAAGGGAGAAAGACACAGGAUAUUCACAGAAGACAAGUACUGGAAUCAAUCUACUGUUUCAUAAAAGGAGAAAGAUUAUGUGUAUUAUGGCAUGUCAGCUGCUGGAUAUUACCAGUCACUGAAAAAAUUAUGAAGGAAUUGCUUCAUUAAGCAGUAUGUGUAUAAUGUUAAAUAAAAUAAGCAAAAUGGAAAACUUCCUAUAAUUCUAGCUACACACAAAUGAUGUGCACAUGGAGACUAAAAGAAAAUGAAUACAGAAAAAGGUGACCAAUUCGGGUGAUGACACUUGAGCUUUCUCCAUAAUUUCCUUCCCCCACUCUUUUUUUUCUUUCUUUGAGACAGAGUCUCACUCAGCUGCCCAGGGUGGAGUGCAGUGGCGCAAUCUCGGCUCACUGCAACCACCGUCUCCUGGGUUCAAGUGAUUCUCCCGUCUCAGCCUCCCGAGUAGCUGGGAUUACAGACACAAGUCCCACACUGCCGGGAGUCUUCCCUGAGCUACUGGAUCAGCACAGAAAACAAGCGGUGAGAUGUCCUCUCCAACAAAAGAACACUCAGCCAGCUGCCCCCCCUGCUUUUUAGGAGAAGAGCCAAAAUAGCUUGAGUGAUCUGUGCCUCUGAGUCUACCCAGGACCCACGGCGCACCAAAGCCACCUUGGGGCUCAACUCGGUACGGUGCCAGAAGCCAUGGGAGCCACCUCACACUCUCAGGGUAAAGGCCAAGGAACGUGCAGGGGAGCCAGCCCACACUGCUGAGCCACAUCCCGCUGCCACCUACUACCAGAUUUCUCAUCCUGUAAAAAAAACCAACUCCUUGUGGUUUAGGCACUUUGUUGCUGCAUUUUGUUGCUUGUAGCCAAAAGCAUUCUUACCUGACCUGGCAAGUGACUCAAUCAGAGCCAGAGAGACACAAAAAGAUUUUUGCUAGGAAAGCUGAGACAUCCUCUCAAUUUUCCCUCCUGGACAAGAUUGAGGAGGGAUGUAGCCCUGAGAGCUGCUACAGGCACCUCAAAACCAUAAGGAGUGUGAGCUGCCUGAGGACAGGACACCAGGACAGAGGGGGAGAUGUCAAUAACCAGUAAUGUCACUGAUCUCCCUGACCCGCCAUGCCAGAAGGGAGGUCUGUCCUCGACCUAACUUGAGCCAGUAUCUUUUUGCUUAAGCCAGUUUGGUUUUCUGAUACUUGCAAUUCAGUGGGUCCUAGCUAAUAUGAAUAAGCUGUUAUUUCUUCAGUGGCCAGCCAACCAGCCCAAACUGUCCGUCCCUGUGUUUCCUGACAAUUCAGCCACUGUGACCAACAACAAGAAAGAAGCUACAGCCAAGAAAAGUGGGCACCACUCACCUUCUUGUUUCUUCUGUUCAAGUUUCAUCUUCUUUGCCAGUAAUUUCUUCUCUUUUAACUUCUGGCUAAAAAUGUAAAACCAUAUACAUUGAUUCCUUAACUAACUUAUGGUAUAUUUUAGAAAAUAAACACCUCCUUAUGGUAUCUUUAAAACCUGUGGAAUAACACAAACAUUACAAUAACAAAAUAAGAAAAAUAUUAGGUGAGUGCAAAAGUAAUUGCCGUUUUUGCGUUGCUGGAAUUUGCUGUUUGAUAUUAGAAUAUAUUCUUUUUUUUUUUUUUUUUUUUUUUUUGAGAUGGAGUCUCACUCUGUUGCCCAGGCUAGAGUGCAGUGGCGCGAUCUCAGCUCACUGAAAGCUCCGCCUCCUGGGUUCACACCAUUCUCCUGCCUCGGCCUCCCGAGUAGCUGGGACUAUAGGCGCCCGCCACCACGCCCAGCUAAUUUUUUGUAUUUUCAAUAGAGACGGGGUUUCUCUGUGUUAACCAGGAUGGUCUCGAUCUCCUGACCUUGUGAUCUGCCCGCCUUGGCCUCCCAAAGUGCUGGGAUUACAGGCGUGAGCCACCGCACCUGGCCAAUACAUUCUUAAAUAGAUGUGAUUAUGUUAUACAUCAUUUCAAUGGGCUUUUUUUUUUUUUUUUUGCUAAUGACUUAUUACUUAUUUUAUGUUUAGACCAUGAAAACAAUGCUAGACAAAAAGCAAAUUCAAGUGAUUUUCUUAUUCAAAUUCAAAAUGGGUCGUAAAGCAGUGGAGACAACUCACAAUAUCAACAAUGCAUUUAGCCCAGGAACUGCCAACGAACGUACAGUGCAGUGGUGGGGCAAGAAGUUUUGCAAAGGAGACGAGAGCCUUGAAGAUGAGCAUCGUGGCUAGCCAUCGGUCAUUGGACAUUGACCAAUUGAGAGCAAUCACGGAAGCUGAUCCUCUUACAACUACAUGAGAAGGGGCCGAAGAACUCAGCAUCGACCAUGCUACAGUCAUUCAGCAUUUGAAGCAAACUGGAAAGGUGAGAAAGCUCGGUAAGUGGGUGCCUCAUGAGCUGAGCGAAAAUCAAAAAAAUCAUUAUUUUGAAGUGCCGUCUUCUCUUACUCUACGCAACAACAAUGAACCAUUUCUCGAUCAGAUUGUGACGUGUGAUGAAAAGUGGAUUUUACAUGACACCUGCGACAACCAGCUCAGUGGUUGGACCAAGAAGCCGCUCCAAAACACUUCCCAAAGCCAAACUCGCACAAAAAAGGUCAUGGUCACUGUUUGCUGGUCAGCUGCUGGUCUGAUCCACUACAGCUUUCUGAAUCCCGGUGAAACCAGUACACUGGAGAAGUAUGUGCAGCAAAUCGAUGAGAUGCACUGAAAACUCCAAUGCCCGCAGCCAGCACUGAUCAACAGAAGGGGCCCAAUUCUUCUCCAGGACAACGCCCAACCACAUGUCACACAACCAACGCUUCAAAGGUUGAACAAAUUGGGCUGCGAUGUAUUGCCUCAUCCACCAUAUUCACCUGACUUCUUGCCAACCAACUACCACUUCUUCAAGCACUUUGACAACUUUUUGCAGGGAAAGCACUUCCACAACCAGCAGGAUGCAGAAAAUGCUUUCUAAGAGUUCUUCAAAUCCCGGAGCAUGGAUUUUUACGUUAUAGAAAUAAACUUAUUUCUUUUUGGUCAAAAUGUGUUGAUUGUAAUGGUUCCUAUUCUGAUCAAUAAACAUGUUUUGAGCCUA
Symphalangus syndactylus (siamang) is the source of this 5146-nucleotide RNA transcript. It is a transcript of the gene named histone-lysine N-methyltransferase SETMAR-like, with no coding region annotated. The record is from RefSeq and is a predicted model, not a curated record. Lineage: Eukaryota; Metazoa; Chordata; Mammalia; Primates; Hylobatidae.